CGGCGAGCGAAGUGGGAACGAGUCAGUGCCCAGGUCUGAAAUCUCCGGUCGGACCUAUUGCGCGGCCGGCGAAUUGUGGUCUGGAGAGCGGAGCUGUCCCGGAGUCGCGUUCCGUCGGGCCCGAAGUCGACUUGGAACGGCGUGCCGCAGAGGGUGAGAGCCCCGUAGGGCCGGGAAACCGGGAGCGACGGGACGAGAGCUCCGACUCGUCGAGUCGGGUUGUUUGGGAAUGCAGCCCAAAUGGGGUGGUAGACUCCAUCCAAGGCUGAACACGGGCGCGAGUCCGAUAGCGGACAAGUACCGUGAGGGAAAGGUGAAAAGCACUUUGAAGAGAGAGUUCAAGAGAGCGUGAAACCGUUGGGAGGGAAGCUCGGGGUGCCGAGGCGGUCUGGCCGUUGCCGGAGUUCAGCUGGCGUCGUCGCCGGCCGUUCGCGCCGAGGGGCGCGUCGGCCGGUUCGGUGCCCGCGCAGUCUCCGGGCGGUCUCGGUGACCGUCAGCGAGGUGGAGGUCCGCCCGUGUGUGUCGGCGUUCGUGGAGGUGGUGUCGGUCGGCGGCCCUCGGGUCGUCGCCCGAUCGUAAGCUCCGCUUUCGCCCGGGCGUGACGUCUCCUCCGGGAGAAGUGUGACGACGAGCGUCGUCUCCGGUCGUGAUAGGUGCGGAGCCCCUCGAGGGCCGCGGGCCCCCGUCGGUCGCCUCCGUUCGCGCGUCGGUCGGGCGUCUCCGUGUCGCGUUUCCUCUCGGUCUCGCGUC
This 750-nucleotide ribosomal RNA is filed under the name Neopetrosia sigmafera. Its description in RNAcentral is "LSU rRNA". The stretch from base 1 to 308 matches the Rfam family "Eukaryotic large subunit ribosomal RNA", at positions 87 to 358 of the family's 3401-position model. Lineage: Eukaryota; Metazoa; Porifera; Demospongiae; Haplosclerida; Petrosiidae. The record is from RNAcentral.